RNAcentral lists this ribosomal RNA (332 nucleotides) under uncultured bacterium. RNAcentral describes it as "bacterial SSU rRNA". It matches the Rfam family "Bacterial small subunit ribosomal RNA", at positions 568 to 898 of the family's 1533-position model. The record is from RNAcentral.
CGCGUAGGCGGCUUGGCAAGCCAGAUGUGAAAGCCCCGGGCUUAACCCGGGAAUUGCAUCUGAAACUGCUUUGCUUGAGUCCUGGAUGGGAUAGUGGAAUUCCCAGUGUAGCGGUGAAAUGCGUAGAUAUUGGGAGGAACACCUGCGGCGAAGGCGGCUAUCUGGACAGUGACUGACGCUGAGGCGCGAAAGCUAGGGGAGCGAACGGGAUUAGAUACCCCGGUAGUCCUAGCCGUAAACGAUGGGCACUUGGUGUUGGGGGUAUUGAGUCCCUCGGUGCCGGAGUUAACACGUUAAGUGCCCCGCCUGGGGAGUACGGUCGCAAGACUGAA